GAUGAACGCUGGCGGCGUGCCUAAUACAUGCAAGUCGAGCGAACGGACGAGAAGCUUGCUUUUCUGAUGUUAGCGGCGGACGGGUGAGUAACACGUGGAUAACCUACCUAUAAGACUGGGAUAACUUCGGGAAACCGGAGCUAAUACCGGAUAAUAUUUUGAACCGCAUGGUUCAAAAGUGAAAGACGGUCUUGCUGUCACUUAUAGAUGGAUCCGCGCUGCAUUAGCUAGUUGGUAAGGUAACGGCUUACCAAGGCAACGAUGCAUAGCCGACCUGAGAGGGUGAUCGGCCACACUGGAACUGAGACACGGUCCAGACUCCUACGGGAGGCAGCAGUAGGGAAUCUUCCGCAAUGGGCGAAAGCCUGACGGAGCAACGCCGCGUAAGUGAUGAAGGUCUUCGGAUCGUAAAACUCUGUUAUUAGGGAAGAACAUAUGUGUAAGUAACUGUGCACAUCUUGACGGUACCUAAUCAGAAAGCCACGGCUAACUACGUG
Molecule: ribosomal RNA, 497 nt
Filed under: uncultured bacterium
Lineage: Bacteria
Description: partial 16S ribosomal RNA
Rfam family: Bacterial small subunit ribosomal RNA
Source: RNAcentral